RNAcentral lists this ribosomal RNA (498 nucleotides) under uncultured bacterium. RNAcentral's name for it is "partial 16S ribosomal RNA". It matches the Rfam family "Bacterial small subunit ribosomal RNA", at positions 28 to 507 of the family's 1533-position model. The record is from RNAcentral.
GACGAACGCUGGCGGCGUGCCUAAUACAUGCAAGUUGAGCGCUGAAGGUUGGUACUUGUACCAACUGGAUGAGCAGCGAACGGGUGAGUAACGCGUGGGGAAUCUGCCUUUGAGCGGGGGACAACAUUUGGAAACGAAUGCUAAUACCGCAUAAAAACUUUAAACACAAGUUUUAAGUUUGAAAGAUGCAAUUGCAUCACUCAAAGAUGAUCCCGCGUUGUAUUAGCUAGUUUGGUGAGGUAAAGGCUCACCAAGGCGAUGAUACAUAGCCGACCUGAGAGGGUGAUCGGCCACAUUGGGACUGAGACACGGCCCAAACUCCUACGGGAGGCAGCAGUAGGGAAUCUUCGGCAAUGGACGAAAGUCUGACCGAGCAACGCCGCGUGAGUGAAGAAGGUUUUCGGAUCGUAAAACUCUGUUGGUAGAGAAGAACGUUGGUGAGAGUGGAAAGCUCAUCAAGUGACGGUAACUACCCAGAAAGGGACGGCUAACUACGUG